AUGAAAUUAAAUCUUUAUGUACUGACUCCUAAGCGAAUUAUUUGGGAUUGUGAGGUGAAAGAAAUCAUUUUAUCCACUAAUAGUGGCCAAAUUGGCGUAUUACCAAACCACGCCCCCAUUAACACAGCAGUAGAUAUGGGUCCUUUGAGAAUACGCCUCCUCAACGACCAAUGGUUAACAGCGGUUCUGUGGAGCGGUUUUGCGAGAAUAGUUAAUAAUGAGAUCAUCAUUUUAGGAAAUGAUGCGGAACUGGGUAGUGAUAUUGAUCCGGAAGAAAUAUAA
RNAcentral lists this ribosomal RNA (282 nucleotides) under Triticum aestivum (bread wheat). RNAcentral's name for it is "partial small subunit ribosomal RNA". The record is from RNAcentral. Lineage: Eukaryota; Viridiplantae; Streptophyta; Magnoliopsida; Poales; Poaceae.